CCAGACUCCUACGGGAGGCAGCAGUGGGGAAUAUUGCACAAUGGGGGAAACCCUGAUGCAGCAACGCCGCGUGAGUGAAGAAGUAUUUCGGUAUGUAAAGCUCUAUCAGCAGGGAAGAAGAAGGACGGUACCUGACUAAGAAGCCCCGGCUAACUACGUGCCAGCAGCCGCGGUAAUACGUAGGGGGCGAGCGUUAUCCGGAUUUACUGGGUGUAAAGGGAGCGUAGACGGUUAAUCAAGUCUGAAGUGAAAGCCCGCGGCUCAACUGCGGAACGGCUUUGGAAACUGAGUAACUGGAGUGCUGGAGGGGCAGGCGGAAUUCCUGGUGUAGCGGUGAAAUGCGUAGAUAUUAGGAGGAACACCAGUGGCGAAGGCGGCUUACUGGACUGUAACUGACGUUGAGGCUCGAAAGCGUGGGGAGCAAACAGGAUUAGAUACCCCAGUA
RNAcentral lists this ribosomal RNA (445 nucleotides) under uncultured bacterium. Its description in RNAcentral is "bacterial SSU rRNA". It matches the Rfam family "Bacterial small subunit ribosomal RNA", at positions 331 to 792 of the family's 1533-position model. The record is from RNAcentral.